AGAUUGAACGCUGGCGGCAGGCCUAACACAUGCAAGUCGAGCGGCAGCACGGGUACUUGUACCUGGUGGCGAGCGGCGGACGGGUGAGUAAUGCCUAGGAAUCUGCCUGGUAGUGGGGGAUAACGCUCGGAAACGGACGCUAAUACCGCAUACGUCCUACGGGAGAAAGCAGGGGACCUUCGGGCCUUGCGCUAUCAGAUGAGCCUAGGUCGAUUAGCUAGUUGGUGAGUAAUGGCUCACCAAGGCGACGAUCCGUAACUGGUCUGAGAGGAUGAUCAGUCACACUGGAACUGAGACACGGUCCAGACUCGUACGGGAGCAGCAGGUGGGAAUAGUUGGACAAGUGGGCGAAAGCCUGAUCCGAGCCAUCGCCGCGUGUGGUAGAAGAAGGUCUUCGGAUUGUAAAGCUAACGUUUAAGUGGGAG
RNAcentral lists this ribosomal RNA (425 nucleotides) under uncultured soil bacterium. RNAcentral describes it as "bacterial SSU rRNA". It matches the Rfam family "Bacterial small subunit ribosomal RNA", at positions 26 to 446 of the family's 1533-position model. The record is from RNAcentral.